GCCCUCGUUGUCUAAUGGUUAUGACGUCAGACUUCUAAUCUGGAGGCUGUGAGUUCGAGUCUCACCGGGGGCU
This 73-nucleotide transfer RNA is filed under the name Laccaria bicolor S238N-H82. RNAcentral's name for it is "tRNA-Arg (TCT) (tRNA-Arg-TCT-2-1)". It matches the Rfam family "tRNA". Rfam says of the family: Transfer RNA (tRNA) molecules are approximately 80 nucleotides in length. Their secondary structure includes four short double-helical elements and three loops (D, anti-codon, and T loops). The record is from RNAcentral. Lineage: Eukaryota; Fungi; Basidiomycota; Agaricomycetes; Agaricales; Hydnangiaceae.